UACGGAGGGUGCAAGCGUUAUCCGGAUUUACUGGGUUUAAAGGGUGCGUAGGUGGGUCUGUAAGUCAGUGGUGAAAUCUCCGGGCUUAACUCGGAAAUUGCCAUUGAUACUAUAGGUCUUGAAUCAUCUGGAGGUAAGCGGAAUAUGUCAUGUAGCGGUGAAAUGCUUAGAUAUGACAUAGAACACCAAUUGCGAAGGCAGCUUACUACGGAUGUAUUGACACUGAGGCACGAAAGCGUGGGGAUCAAACAGG
Molecule: ribosomal RNA, 253 nt
Filed under: uncultured bacterium
Lineage: Bacteria
Description: partial 16S ribosomal RNA
Rfam family: Bacterial small subunit ribosomal RNA
Source: RNAcentral